AUAAAUUGCUUAAUCUUUUUUCUAAGAACGGGGGACCCAAUUUUUACAGCGGACAUGUCCGUUUGGGGUGAAUCUAUGUAUGUUAGAGGGGCUUACUGUUUCCCUUAGCCCUAACCCGAAAGCUAACCUCGUCAGCAUUAAAGGAA
Molecule: small RNA, 146 nt
Filed under: uncultured Cytobacillus sp.
Lineage: Bacteria; Bacillati; Bacillota; Bacilli; Caryophanales; Bacillaceae
Description: ydaO/yuaA leader
Rfam family: c-di-AMP riboswitch aptamer (ydaO/yuaA leader)
About the family: This family represents a conserved RNA structure found upstream of the ydaO and yuaA genes in Bacillus subtilis and related genes in other bacteria.
Source: RNAcentral